CGGUCAGGGUCAGGGAAGCGGUGAGGGAAGCGGUCAGGGUCAGGGAAGCGGUGAGGGAAGCGCGGUCAUGGUGAGGGAAGCGGUCAGGGAAGCGUUGACGGCCAGGGAAGCGGUGAGGGAAGCGGUCAGGGUGAGGGAAGCGGUGAGGGAAGCGGUCAGGGUCAGGGAAGCGGUGAGGGAAGCGGUCAGGG
Long non-coding RNA from Sinocyclocheilus anshuiensis, 191 nucleotides. RefSeq lists it as uncharacterized. The transcript is spliced from 2 exons. The record is from RefSeq and is a predicted model, not a curated record. Lineage: Eukaryota; Metazoa; Chordata; Actinopteri; Cypriniformes; Cyprinidae.